UGAGCAAUCUGCCCUUCUCAUCGGAAUAAGCGUUGGAAACGACGUCUAAUGCCGAAUACGACCUCCUUUCGCAUGAUCGGAGGUGGAAAGCUCCGGCGGAGAAGGAUGAGCUCGCGGCCUAUCAGCUAGUUGGUGUGGGUAAUGGCCCACCAAGGCGACGACGGGUAGCCGGCCUGAGAGGGUGACCGGCCACACUGGGACUGGGACACGGCCCAGACUCCUACGGGAGGNAG
This 233-nucleotide ribosomal RNA is filed under the name uncultured bacterium. RNAcentral describes it as "partial 16S ribosomal RNA". It matches the Rfam family "Bacterial small subunit ribosomal RNA", at positions 118 to 351 of the family's 1533-position model. The record is from RNAcentral.